Molecule: ribosomal RNA, 253 nt
Filed under: uncultured bacterium
Lineage: Bacteria
Description: partial 16S ribosomal RNA
Rfam family: Bacterial small subunit ribosomal RNA
Source: RNAcentral
UACGUAGGGUGCGAGCGUUAAUCGGAAUUACUGGGCGUAAAGCGUGCGCAGGCGGUGAUGUAAGACAGAUGUGAAAUCCCCGGGCUCAACCUGGGAACUGCAUUUGUGACUGCAUCGCUGGAGUGCGGCAGAGGGGGAUGGAAUUCCGCGUGUAGCAGUGAAAUGCGUAGAUGUGCGGAGGAACACCGAUGGCGAAGGCAAUCCCCUGGGCCUGCACUGACGCUCAUGCACGAAAGCGUGGGGAGCAAACAGG